AUGGAGCUUCAGAAGUUAAUACUGAUGAUCCAAUAUAUGAUGCGGCUAAAUCACCCAUUUUUCCUCUCACUGUGGUUUCUGAGGUUGCUUCGAGCCUUGAGAAUAUUUCAAGCGUCGAGGCUCUUGCUUCUGCAACUCUUGCUUCACCUAAUAUCAGAGACGCGGUCGCAGUAUGUUGAUGGCACUGAACCUAUCACACAACCUGAGGAUGUGCCUCUUCAGCUUUUUCUGGAGGACCAACGCAAGAGGAAGAAGCAAGAAGAUUUUGAAGAGAAGAGGGUGGCCCACCUUCAGGAAGGUUCUGAUGUCCCUGAAUUUGUUGAUGUUGCUGAGCUCACAGUUUGGCAUUGCUCUGUUGCUGAGGAAGACGUGUCGUGCGGCACUGAUGGCACGGUUGUCCCUGUUAAGAAGAAAAUCAAGAAGACCGCUGCGAGGAAGCAUUUGGUUGGUGAUGUUACUCCUCGGAGGAGCCCACGCGUUUCAAGGCCUGCAGAACUUGCUGAAGAGGAAGUGCUAGCCCUCGGUGGUAUGCCACGCCAUAGUCCACGUGUGCUUGCCACUGCCGCGCCUACACCUUCCCCGCUUGGUGCUAGUGCAUCUGGUAAGGGGAAGAAAUGCGGCGUUAAGCGCAAGGUUGCACCUGCAAAGGUCAACAAGGGUGCCAAGAAGCAUUAUCAUGUUAAUCCAGAGGACAAGGACGAUGCUGAUUUCAACGCUGAUGACGAGGACAACGAUGAUGAUGUUAAUCAGUAUCAGCUUGUGGAGCGGCCUCAGAGGAGGAAGAGAGGAGGCAAAGCGCCCGAAGAAGGUGGCCAAGGAGGAGAUAAGGUGAAACGUUUUAACAAGACGGUUCGCUGCUCACUAGGAGAGGUCAAGACGUGUGCGAAAAUGCUACAACUUAGGCACAAGACGAGGGUUAUCAAGGCUAGUUUUGGUUGUGUGUUUGACUUGAAGGUUGAUUCCAACAUUUCUCGUCCUUUGAUGGGCAACAUCUACAUGAGGAUUGACCCUACAACCAUGAUUCUGGACAUGGGUGAGGUGAACAAGGUUCUGUGUAUUACAAGUGAUGCUAUUCACCAUCUGUUUGGAUUCCCUCAGGGUAAUCAUACCCCUCCUAGGACCUCGAAUGAUGGGUUUGAUGAUGUUGUUAUGAGGCUGAAGGGCAAGCUUGGGUACGCUAGGAGUGAUGACAUCAAGACAAAUGAUCUGCGGAAUAUCCUCGCGGAACUUGUGAAGGAUGAGAUGAAGGAUGAUCUUGCUAUGCAGAUAUGGAUUACUAGCAGAGGAAAAGCUGUCAUAGGUUGUGCCAUCGCGCCGCUUCUUAUGUAUCUGGACUGCCUUAUCAUUGGCAAGAUGCCUAAUAUUGACUUGAGGACCCCUUGCAUCAAUUUCAUGGAUCAAGUCAAGCUUCUUGAGCUUGCUGCGGCUGACUUGGUCAAGAAGGGUGAUGAUGACCCAGCCAACUGGGUGUUUGGGAGACUGCAUUGGAAGACAAAGGCUGAGGUUAUGUUCUUUAGGCGUAUCGAACUUCCUGUUCUUACUAUGCCUUGUGUCGCCGACCUAGGGAGUGGAACUUCUCCAAGAUUUGAAUUCUCCCGGGAUAAUGCUCGUUGCAAGCCUUUUGAAGAUGAGGCAAGUGUUGUUGUGAGACAAAUUCAGAGGCAGGAUUUUGUUCGUUCGGGUCGUGAAGGAGGCCACAAGGAGCAUACUGAAAAGGCUGUUGAUGAUGGUGCUAGGGUUGAGGAGGAUGUUUUACCUGUGCAUGAAGCUGCCCCUAUUCAUGAACCUGCUCCCGCUAGUGAUGUAUUAGUUGAUGAGGUUCAUGGAAGUGAAAAUAAGAAUGAUGAUGCUAGUGUUCCUCAAGAGAAGGUUGCAGACAAGUCCGUGUCAGGCACCGACUGCUCCGACGGGGUGGACCUGACUGAACCUGGAGAUAUAAAUUUGGAGAAAGAUGUCAUCGAGGCUGCUAUUGAGACUGGUGGUAGUGCUGCUGCAGGCUCGGAGAAGUCUCAUGCAGCAGAGCCAUCAGUUGCUAUUGAUGUUGGUUCUCCAGCUCUUCCUAGUGCAGGAGAACCAAUGGUUUUUGUUGUUUCAGAUUUUCCAUCUGCUCUAGCUGCUGCUUGUGUGUCCUUCCCGACGACGCUGCAAUGUCUACUGGAGAUGACAAUGAAGAGACUGAAAGCAAUAGCCUCGGAGAGGAGAUCAAUGAUUAUGUUCCAAAACAAGGAGUGUGAAGCUUUUGUUGAAGAUGUCGCAAUAUAUUUUGCUCCUCGUGGAAUGCUUCGAUCUAAUGUGGCUGAGGUUGCACUCUAUUGUCUACGUGUGAAGUACCAGGGAUUGGACAAACUCAUCCUGCCUUAUGGGUUUGUGACAAGAUUUUCAAAGGUUGUUUUCCCCACUUUUGACCCGCCUGAAAUUCCUGCUUCCAUGGAUGGUGUUGGUCACUGGGUUUCGAUAUUUCUUGACCUGAAGAAUUCAAGGUUCCAGCUUCUCGACUCCUACUAUGGACCAGACGUGGAUCCGUUGGACUUGACCGAUUACCACUACUCAUUCCUCGGGUCACAGGAAUACCAGCCUAGGGAGGAAUCGAUGAGUACAACUCUGAGAGAAGAUGAUAGACCUCGAACCCUUAUUCCUUCCAAGUUGGCUAAGCAGGCUGGUGGUAUUUGUGGUACUCCAAAAACCCCUUGCUCCAGGAAGGCUAGUGCAGUCGAAGGAGCCGAAGCAGAAGUGAUUUUGUCUGAUGAUGAUUUUGAGAAGAUUGCUUACCCGAAGAAUGGUAAAUCUAUUGCUGAGAUGCUACUUUAUACUGAACUUCUGUUGUUGUACACAAGCUACUGCAUGUUUACUAUCCCUGGGAAUGUGAUUAACCUCACAGGACAUGUCCUUUAUACUCUUUUCGGUGAAGGGCAGCAGAUGGAAGGAGACAUAAUGGAUUAUCUCAUAAAUUUGUGGAACGAUAAGCUAGAGACCUCUGAGAUAUUCACUAGUGCUGACAGGGUUGUACUUAGUCCCUACUUCAUACAUGUUUUUUUGAUACUAUUCAAGCCAAUUGGCACAAUGGCACACUAUAGUGUGUAUGUGCUGAAUAGAUAUCGUGGAAGCAUUGACAUCCUUGAUUCACUUCCUUACACUAAUAUGGCAAUGUCACGAACAAGUUUCCAUGGAGACUGCCAAAAUAUCCAGAUUAACAGAUUUGUUGGGUUGCUCGAGGAGGUGUACAGCAAGGCUGCAUACAAAGCGAGAAAGCAGCCUAACUGGGUGACUAUUGCAAAGAGGCCGACUUUUAUCGAUGUUCCAAAGCAAAAGAAUAAUGAUUGUGGUUUCUUUGUCGUGAAGUUUUGCUCUUCAUAUGAUGGCGAUGAGCUUGUUGAUGAUUGUGGUGAUGUGGAGGCUGCUGCAGAUGACAGGAAGGCUGAGUUCAUGCACACUCUAAUGUUUAGCGAGAAGAAUGAAGUCGUGCGUGCAGAGCUCCCUAAAGAGAUCCAGUCCUUGGGUCCGUGA
Molecule: ribosomal RNA, 3504 nt
Filed under: Triticum aestivum (bread wheat)
Lineage: Eukaryota; Viridiplantae; Streptophyta; Magnoliopsida; Poales; Poaceae
Description: partial small subunit ribosomal RNA
Source: RNAcentral